AUUGAACGCUGGCGGCAGGCUUAACACAUGCAAGUCGAGCGGUAGCACAGGGGAGCUUGCUCCCUGGGUGACGAGCGGCGGACGGGUGAGUAAUGUCUGGGAAACUGCCUGAUGGAGGGGGAUAACUACUGGAAACGGUAGCUAAUACCGCAUAACGUCGCAAGACCAAAGAGGGGGACCUUCGGGCCUCUUGCCAUCAGAUGUGCCCAGAUGGGAUUAGCUAGUAGGUGGGGUAAUGGCUCACCUAGGCGACGAUCCCUAGCUGGUCUGAGAGGAUGACCAGCCACACUGGAACUGAGACACGGUCCAGACUCCUACGGGAGGCAGCAGUGGGGAAUAUUGCACAAUGGGCGCAAGCCUGAUGCAGCCAUGCCGCGUGUGUGAAGAAGGCCUUCGGGUUGUAAAGCACUUUCAGCGAGGAGGAAGGUGGUGAACUUAAUACGUUCAUCAAUUGACGUUACUCGCAGAAGAAGCACCGGCUAACUCCGUGCCAGCAGCCGCGGUAAUACGGAGGGUGCAAGCGUUUAUCGGAAUUACUGGGCGUAAAGCGCACGCAGGCGGUUUGUUAGUCAGAUGUGAAAUCCCCGGGCUCAACCUGGGAACUGCAUUUGAAACUGGCAAGCUAGAGUCUCGUAGAGGGGGGUAGAAUUCCAGGUGUAGCGGUGAAAUGCGUAGAGAUCUGGAGGAAUACCGGUGGCGAAGGCGGCCCCCUGGACGAAGACUGACGCUCAGGUGCGAAAGCGUGGGGAGCAAACAGGAUUAGAUACCCUGGUAGUCCACGCUGUAAACGAUGUCGAUUUGGAGGUUGUGCCCUUGAGGCGUGGCUUCCGGAGCUAACGCGUUAAAUCGACCGCCUGGGGAGUACGGCCGCAAGGUUAAAACUCAAAUGAAUUGACGGGGGCCCGCACAAGCGGUGGAGCAUGUGGUUUAAUUCGAUGCAACGCGAAGAACCUUACCUACUCUUGACAUCCAGAGAACUUUCCAGAGAUGGAUUGGUGCCUUCGGGAACUCUGAGACAGGUGCUGCAUGGCUGUCGUCAGCUCGUGUUGUGAAAUGUUGGGUUAAGUCCCGCAACGAGCGCAACCCUUAUCCUUUGUUGCCAGCGGUUCGGCCGGGAACUCAAGGGAGACUGCCAGUGAUAAACUGGAGGAAGGUGGGGAUGACGUCAAGUCAUCAUGGCCCUUACGAGUAGGGCUACACACGUGCUACAAUGGCAUAUACAAAGAGAAGCGACCUCGCGAGAGCAAGCGGACCUCAUAAAGUAUGUCGUAGUCCGGAUUGGAGUCUGCAACUCGACUCCAUGAAGUCGGAAUCGCUAGUAAUCGUAGAUCAGAAUGCUACGGUGAAUACGUUCCCGGGCCU
This 1362-nucleotide ribosomal RNA is filed under the name uncultured bacterium. Its description in RNAcentral is "bacterial SSU rRNA". It matches the Rfam family "Bacterial small subunit ribosomal RNA", at positions 28 to 1381 of the family's 1533-position model. The record is from RNAcentral.